Molecule: unclassified non-coding RNA, 358 nt
Filed under: soil metagenome
Description: partial contains 5.8S ribosomal RNA, internal transcribed spacer 2, and large subunit ribosomal RNA
Rfam family: 5.8S ribosomal RNA (bases 1-119)
Source: RNAcentral
GAUGAAGAACGUAGCGAAAUGCGAUAGUUAAUGUGAAUUGCAGAAUUCAGUGAAUCAUCGAGUCUUUGAACGCACAUUGCGCCCCCUGGUAUUCCGGGGGCAUGCCUGUCCGAGCGUCAUUGCUGCCCAUCAAGCGCGGCUUGUGUGUUGGGCCGCCGUCCGCCUUCCCCCCCGGGGGGAGGGGGACGGGCCCGAAAGGCAGCGGCGGCACCGCGUCCGGUCCUCGAGCGUAUGGGGCUCUGUCACCCGCUCUGGAGGCCCGGCCGGCGCCCGCCGACCCCCAACCUUCUUCUAACCAGGUUGACCUCGGAUCAGGUAGGGAUACCCGCUGAACUUAAGCAUAUCAAUAAGCGGAGGA